UUCAUACUCCUAAGGAUAAUGCUUAUCCUUUUACACCCUCCUCCACUGCUUAAACCAAGUGAGAUGGUUUUGACUUUGGCCGAACUACUAAAUGACCGAAAUAAGCUUGGCUAUGCAGAGCCACUGAGUAAACCGAACUAUUCUUAGUUCGGUUCCACCUUUAACUCUAUCCUUAUCUCGGUUUUCUCAUGUACAACCAAUGGUACGGUCUUAGACCGAACCAAUGACUUUCGGCCGGUAUGACUCCAAGACCGACAUAACUCUAAGUCGUUCCUGGACCGAAGUAUCUUUAUAAUUCCUGAGCCGAAGUAAUUUUACCUCCCUGGCCGGAGUAACUUUGUUUCUCCUAGGCCGGAGUAACCUUGCCUCUCCUGGGCCGAAGUAACCUUUUGCAUUUUUCUUGAGCCAGAGUAAGCAUUACGGCCUUUUUACUUAGUCCUUCGCACUUUGGGCCACAAAGCCCAACUCGCAGCUCGGCCCAAUUUUUUCCAAAAAUUACCCUCUCAUAUACAUACUCAAGGGCAGUAAGAUGUGGCAUAGCUCCAAAUGACAAGGAUCUUGUAGUUGUCCCUAUCGGUAAUACUUUCCAUCUCCUAUUUCCUAGUCCCUUAAAUCGCUUCAAAUUCAUGAGGUAGAGGGAUUUUAGGAAUGGGAAGAGUCCUCUUGACAUAGAAGAAGUCGGAGAAGAACGAGUGUUAUAAUCACCACCACUACUGCUACACUCCUCUUCCUUACAAUUGUACUCCAAGGAAUCCAAAUAAUGGUUGUUGCUAUUUUGUUAUUUCUAUUGCUAUAAUUUGGCAAUGAAUAGUGUUAUUUUGUCAAAUUAUAGCAAUAGUGCUCCAAUGGUCAUUUGCUAUUUUUGGCAAAUCUCAACUAACUUUUCCUCCAAAUUUGUAGGUAUUGUUUGGAUAUAUGUUUUUUGUGAUUUUAUUUUUGUUUAUUUUUUGUGUUUUGUGAUAUUUUUUUACCUGUUUGUUAUAAAAAUUUUAUAUUUAUAUUAUUCACAACUAGACAAAUAUAAAAAAAUUUAAAAAAAUGAAAAAUUGAAAAAAAAAAUUUGUUUGUUUAAUUCACCCCACCAAAAAACAUAUCACUACAUAUUUAAUAAAUUUUUUUAAAUACACAUAAAAAAUAAACAAUCAUCAAUACCAACAACCAACCACCAACAACCAUCCAAAUUAAAAAUUAAAAAUUAAAUGGCAUUACUAAAUUAAAAAAUAAACAACGGCUCCUCCAUCUAUCUCUCUAGAACAAUCUGUAUCCAUCUAUCUAUGACACCAAGCUCUUUCUCUCUCUCUGCUCUCUCUUCAUUCAUUGCCCUCACCCACCGAUCAUUAUCUCUCUCUCAUCUUUUCUCAUCUCCUCUCCUCAAAUCUUCCAAAUCAAACCCUAACCAAGAUCUCUCUCCACUGAUCUCCAUCUCUCUCCACUGAUCUCGGUCUAUCUAUCUAGAACAAGCCGAUCUCUCUAUCUAGAACAAGCUGAUCUCUCUAUCAAGAUCUCUCUCUACUGAUCCAUCUAUCUAUCUAGAACAAGCCGAUCUCUCUCCACUGAUCUCGAUCUCUCUCCACUGAUCUCGGUCUCCAUCGAUGAAGCCGAAGCUGGUUCAGUCACGGUUUUCCAGCAUAGUGUGAGUUCGGUCCCGAUUUGGAGAAAUGCAAGCCCUGGUUGAUCCAUUACGCCCCUCAUCUCUACCCCGAUCUUCUCAAAGAUGCAUUUCUCUUGAAGAUGACAACAGUCCAAUGAUUGGUAACAAUCCAACUGUUGGUAAUAAUCCAAUCAGUGAGGGUAGUGUCUUUGCAAGGAGUAAAAGGCAUAUGAGUAAGAAAGCUGCAAAAGAAUUAUUUCAGAGAAAUCAAGUCAUUGAAGCUAAAGUCUACAAAUUUAGCAAUGUGUUGGAGACAUUUAAUCAACACCUUGUUGAAAAGGAAAAGAAAAAAGAUAA
Camellia sinensis is the source of this 1948-nucleotide non-coding RNA. The record is from RefSeq and is a predicted model, not a curated record. NCBI's taxonomy places the organism in Eukaryota, Viridiplantae, Streptophyta, Magnoliopsida, Ericales, Theaceae.